Long non-coding RNA from Caretta caretta (loggerhead turtle), 1153 nucleotides. RefSeq lists it as uncharacterized. The record is from RefSeq and is a predicted model, not a curated record. Lineage: Eukaryota; Metazoa; Chordata; Testudines; Cheloniidae.
CAACGAAGCAGGCUUUAUCCAUGGAUGGCAUCUUUAAGAAAAGGGUGCUCUGUGAACAUUAGACAGAAGCGACUUUGUCUGUACAAAGUGCAAGCUGGUCUCCAUAUUGGAAGAGCAGGUUCAAGGUCUGGAGAAACAAGUAUCGACCCUGCGUUGCAUAAGAGAAACUGAAGAUUUCCUGGACAGACAUCAGGAUAUGCUUCUACGGACACAAUGUUCUGAAGAUUCAGAGCAGGCUGCGCAGCGGGGACAGGAGGACGGUGAAGAAAUUUGGCAGCAUGUGACCUCCAGAAGAAGAAAGGGGAGCGUCCAUGUACCAGCAGCACAGAUAGAGAAUGUCCACAUACAAAUCACGAUUGUCAUAAAGCUGUGACACUUUGGAGUUGCUGUAAUAAAAAAAGACUGAUAUUUACACUUGAAAAAAGUCUCAAGGCAAUUUCUUCAUAAAUCCUUUACGAUACCAACUUGGUCACCCAGCUGCUGCUUUCCCAUGACAGGGUUGUGAACACGGAUGAGCUUUACAGAGACACAGCAGAGGUCUGCCACUAACUGUGCUAUUUGCUGUCUUUAACACAAAACAGGUAGCAGGACUGGCGAGGAGCUGUGGUGUAACUUUCCAUAAGUGUUGGACAUUGCACUCCUAUUCUUAUCACCCACUCUGCAUGUCUUGUAGGUGAUGCUAACCCCAAACUAACAGGCAAAAAGAAGAAAGCAUAAAUAAAAUGAAAAGAUGCUAUCAAGGAAGGUAGAAGAGGAAGAAGUCCACCCACCUCCUCCAGUCCUGGUGGGAGACAGCAGGAGAGGAGACUUUUCAUCCUCCAGAUAGGAUGGGGAGUUGAGUAGACAGGAGAGUCUGGGCUGGCAAGAGCAGCUGCUCUCUCGCUGGUGCAGUGUUUUAAGGGCUGAGCCUGCAGGUGUGCUCCAGCUCGGUAUAUGCAAGAGGGAGGGGAGGCAGCACAGGCUGCUCCAAGGGCUUUCCCUCUCAGCACACUAGAGCGGUUCUGGUUGGCUGCUUUUCCCCAAUAGAUGUGGGAAUUUGCAAGAGCAGCCAGUCAACUGGGGAUUCCCAUCCAAAUGAUAGCAUUUUCACCAUAGACCCAAAAUAGACUCAGGAAACUUGAUAAAUUUGUAUCAGAGGGGUAGCAGUGUUAUU